RNAcentral lists this long non-coding RNA (1386 nucleotides) under Macaca mulatta (Rhesus monkey). RNAcentral's name for it is "lncRNA (ENSMMUG00000064938.1)". Lineage: Eukaryota; Metazoa; Chordata; Mammalia; Primates; Cercopithecidae. The record is from RNAcentral.
AUGCAGCGUCCCGCGCCCUCCUACAGCUACUGGCGCGCCGUGGGCUUGGCGCAGGCGCAGACGUGGCUCCUUAACUUACAAAUUGUACCUUGGGCUGGUUUCAUGAAAAUCCACUUGGGAUUGCCCAGUGCACACGGUAGACAUGGAAAUGGAUCAUCAGCAUCCCCAGAUUACCCAAGCAGCUGGGGUAAAGCCCAUAUCCUCCCACAAAGCAUGCUUCUUUGGAAAUUUGUAUCUAUUGGCUUUGGCACUCAAGUAAUGUUCUUGCAUUCUCCGUCAAGUCAGGGAUGAAUAAUCUCUUGAGGGUGAGUAACCUUUUAAAUGUUGGAGGACUCACAGUUCCAGGGAUCAGUGUGCAUUUAGCAAUUUGUAGGAAAGGUCAGCAUCCCUUAUGACCACAUUUGUGUUAGCAAGGCACAGAUUCUUCUUCUCCUUUGACUUAGUCUGGAGGUUGACAUCACACUCUUCUCAUGUCAAUCCAUCAGUUUGUGCAAUCUUGAUAUACAAAUGAAGUAUGACUUCUGAGUUUCAUGGGUGUGUAAUCAUUAUCAUUAUAUAUGAUUGAAAGCAGGCAGUUAUAGAAGGGUCUUGGGUGACUGUCAUUCUCCCAUCUAUAAAACUCCUGGCAAAGGGAUUAAUACACAUCCUAUAAACAGAGCCAGAGUUAAGUUCCUGAAAACAACAUCCCAUUAAUAAGGUUUAAAUCUUGAAGUCAACAUGGAAAAAAUAGGUUUAAAAAGUAACAUCUAAUUUGUUUUUCAAUACGGUUGGAAGGUCAGAUUUCAUUCCUACUCCCAUGAAAGUAAUUAGAGCUGCUCUCAUCUUAAGAAACAGAGGUAUAUUAGGGUCACACAGUGUUUUCCACACUUUGUUCUGUAUUAGAAACACCUGAGGAACUUUUACAACUCCUGAUGCCCAGGCUGUGCCUAGCACUAAUGAAACCGGAAUGGCUGGGGUGGGUGCCAGGUGUCAGUGAUUUUCAAAACUCCUUGGGUGAAUCCAAUGUGCAGCAAAGUUUAGGAAUCUUGAGUUGAAGCAAUCAUACAUUCUCUACCACACUUCAGCUUUUCUUCAUUGCCUCUUUAGCUCAGUGCAUCUUAACCUGCCUGCUCUUUAGAAUCAAGGAGCAUCUUUAAAAAAUUCCAUUCUGAUUCAUUAGGUCUAGGGCAGGGUGUACGCAUCAGAAACAUUCAGCUUUCCCAUGUGACUCUGGCAUGCAGCCAGGGUGUAGAAUCUCUGGACCAGCAGAUCACAGAAAGAGGCACAUAAGGUGGAUCUUUUGGCAUUUUUCUGGCAGUUAAGAGCUUCAUACAUUUUAAAAAUUCCUCUUCACUAGCUUUGUUGAAUGAAUUUUCUUCUUCAAAGCACUAGGCUGUAAAGUCCAAC